This 69-nucleotide transfer RNA is filed under the name Ictidomys tridecemlineatus (thirteen-lined ground squirrel). Its description in RNAcentral is "Spermophilus tridecemlineatus (thirteen-lined ground squirrel) tRNA". It matches the Rfam family "tRNA". Rfam says of the family: Transfer RNA (tRNA) molecules are approximately 80 nucleotides in length. The record is from Rfam by way of RNAcentral. Lineage: Eukaryota; Metazoa; Chordata; Mammalia; Rodentia; Sciuridae.
GUGGGUAGCUCAGUAGCAGAGCACUUGCCUGGCAUGCACAAGGCUCUGGGUUCAACUCCCAGGACCACA